ACUAGGCCGGAGCGAGGGGAAGCCCUGAAGGGCGGGGAGGGGGAGGAGCCGGAGCGAGCAGGGCCCGCUCAGAAGAGGCCAGGAGGCAGGCGCGGGGGAGCGGCUCCGUGCUGGGCCUGCCCGGGCACCCUGACCCAGCCGCCGCGGAGAAAAGGUGGGACGCCUACCACAGCAUGGUUUUGCCAAGCGGUGCCAUGUCGGCACCCAGGAUCCAAACCGGCCAACCCCUGGCCGCUGAGAAGCAGAACGUGCGCCCUGAAUCGCUGUGCCACCAGGCCGGCCCCAGGGGCCCUGCAUUUUGAUUUGUGAAAUCCAGCAACCCCAGCAGGGGAUAAACCUCUGCCCUCAGCCCUCAUCCAGAACCUUCCAGUAGCUUUAGAGGGGAAAACAGGGAGUGUUUCUAUUACUGUGCACUUUUGGGUAGGGGGAAAUUCAGGGGAUUCUACUUUUUAUUAUUUCUACUUGUAUGUAUCUUCUCAUUUUCUUUAAAGAGUCAGCAUUAGUGUUCCGUAAAAAAAUAAAAUCUUAUAGACACUA
Molecule: long non-coding RNA, 537 nt
Organism: Equus caballus (horse)
Lineage: Eukaryota; Metazoa; Chordata; Mammalia; Perissodactyla; Equidae
Source: RefSeq, a predicted model, not a curated record